GACGAACGCUGGCGGCGUGCUUAACACAUGCAAGUCGAACGGACAGACCCUGCUUUUGUUGGUUUCUCGAGUGGCGAACGGGUGUGUAACACGUGAGUAUCCUGCCCUUAUCUUUGGGAUAACUUCACGAAACUGGGGCUCUUACCCGAUAUGAUCUCCUGCUGCAUGUUGGUGGUUGGAAAGUUUCGGCGGUUGUGGAUGGACUCGCGGCUUAUCAGCUUGUUGGUGUGGUAGUGGCUUACGAAGGCUUUGACGGGUAGCCUGCCUGAGAGGGUGACCGGCGACAUUGGGACUGAGAGACGGACCAGAAGGCUACGGGAGGCAACAGGGGGGAAUAUUACGGAAUGGGGGGAAGCCAGAGGCAGAAACGCCGCGAGCGGGAUGACGGGUUUUGGGUGGUAAACAGAUGUGGAAGGAAACGAAGAGGGAGUGACGGUAACGGGUAAAGAAGCAACGGCUAACUACGUG
This 468-nucleotide ribosomal RNA is filed under the name uncultured bacterium. Its description in RNAcentral is "partial 16S ribosomal RNA". It matches the Rfam family "Bacterial small subunit ribosomal RNA", at positions 28 to 507 of the family's 1533-position model. The record is from RNAcentral.